GGGUCCGACCGGUUUUGACAGUAUGCGCGUUAGAUCGGUAAGCACGUAGAGUUUUGUUGGAAACACUCUUUAAUCAGAACCUUCAACAAUUAUCUGGCGAGUCUAACUACGCCAUGGCUGCUUAAUCUAGGAUUAACCAACCAUUGCAUCGGGCAGAGCUCUGUUGUACAGCGCUGCUCAUAGAUGCACCGAAAAGGUACAACUUAAACUAAUGCUGUUGCAUAUUAGUUUAAUACUAGCAACUACGCACAGGUUUGGUUAGGGUAAAUACCUGGCCCGUGCCGACAACAAAUUUAUCCUAAACGUGUAGAAAGCUUUUUUAAUCCAUAUUUGGACGAGAGUUCGAAUCUCUCCGGAUCCACUC
Molecule: transfer-messenger RNA, 364 nt
Filed under: Bacteroidia
Lineage: Bacteria; Pseudomonadati; Bacteroidota
Also listed under: 2 other names
Description: UBA2475 sp009927275 Standard tmRNA
Rfam family: transfer-messenger RNA
About the family: Bacterial tmRNA, also known as 10Sa RNA or SsrA, is named for its dual tRNA and mRNA-like properties. Its role is to liberate the mRNA from a stalled ribosome.
Source: RNAcentral